This 30-nucleotide non-coding RNA is filed under the name Homo sapiens (human). The record is from RNAcentral. Lineage: Eukaryota; Metazoa; Chordata; Mammalia; Primates; Hominidae.
UCUUGGGUAAUGCAACCAUAGGGCAGGAAA